RNAcentral lists this ribosomal RNA (402 nucleotides) under Bacteroidota bacterium. Its description in RNAcentral is "Bacteroidetes bacterium partial 16S ribosomal RNA". It matches the Rfam family "Bacterial small subunit ribosomal RNA", at positions 355 to 776 of the family's 1533-position model. The record is from RNAcentral. Lineage: Bacteria; Pseudomonadati; Bacteroidota.
UGGGGAAUUUUGCACAAUGGGGGAAACCCUGAUGCAGCGACGCCGCGUGAUUUAGAAGGCCUUCGGGUUGUAAAAAUCUUUUUUAUGGGAUGAAAAUGACAGUACCAUAAGAAUAAGGUCCGGCUAAAUACGUGCCAGCAGCCGCGGUAAUACGUAUGGACCGAGCGUUGUCCGGAAUCAUUGGGCGUAAAGGGUACGUAGGCGGCCCAGUAAGUUAGAAGUGAAAUAAUAUAGCUCAACUAUAUAAAGCUUUUAAAACUGCUAGGCUUGAGAGAUGGAAGGGAAAGUGGAAUUCCUAGUGUAGCGGUGAAAUGUGCAGAUAUUAGGAAGAAUACCGGUGGCGAAGGCGACUUUCUGGCCAUAACCUGACGCUGAGGUACGAAAGCGUGGGUAGCAAACAGG